GCAGCAGAGGUUCAAGGUCAUCUUUGGUUACACAGCAAACCUGAGGCUAGACUGGACUGCAUGAGACGCUAUCUCAUUUUUUUUUUAAAGGUCAGAUUGUGUUGUUCUUUAAGCAAGCCACUCUCUGCAUUGCUUGAAGCUCCUUAAUGAAUGUGACUUGGACUGUCCCAGAGGGCACUUACUCCUUCAGCCCAUCAUACCAGAUCAAGCUGCGCUUCUCUGAUGAAGUACAUCAUUGUCUUCCUCAGCUGCAACCCUUGAGCCAGUGAUUCCAUUAUAUCACGUGGCUUUCCUCUGGCCCCCGUUCAUUCAUAUCCACACAAUGUCAUUUGUCGUAUGAAGGGAUUUGCCAUUCAGGAUCGCAAGUCUUGUCAUCCUGGGUAGCUCUGCGUUGCUUUAUCUGAGCUUGCGAAACGGCUCCGAACGUGAGCAGUCAGAAUCAAGUCCUGUUCUUGCCCUUCAUCACACUUGGCACGUUCUCUUUCCGGACACAUCCAGUGGAUAUUGUGCAGACUUUCUCCAGCUAAUCUCAGGAAGACUGAAGUUUUUAGACAGCCACCCUUCAUAUUUAGGGGAUGUAUUCUUCCACAGAUCCUGAGGAAACCCUGAAUGAAGUCCAAUCAGAUCAUUUGCCCCUUGGUGCACAUUGACACUACUCUCCGUAGGGUUUGACCUACCUUCUCUGAGGAUAGCAUCCAAAAAAGAGAUCCCACCACGUCUGCUGAUCCUAGGAAUGGGAUAUGGCUGCGUUUUAGAGAGAAAGGAGAAAAUUGCUUUUCCAUUCCAAAAGUAUAAGACUAUGACUCACGCUGGAAUUGGUUCAGGUACUGGCUGAAAAAAAGAUCCAGAUUGACAACAAAAGCUAAGGGCUGGGAGGAAGACAAGGUAACAGGUUAGAACUCAGAGAUGUGCAUGUAGGCCCUUAGGUCCACUGGAAAGAUACAAGGGAGUAAGUUAGAGGCGCAUUUUAAAACAGCGGAGUUACUAAUGUAAACAAAUCAACCGAAGAACCACCUUCCAAGUGAUUUUCAAGAUCCUAGAUAAUCAGAGGAACUCCAAACUCCAAACCCCGCAAGUGAAGGGGAAAUCCAAAGAAAACGAACCUAGCCUCGUAAACAAAGUGGAAAUUUCCUUCUGUCCAAAGGCGAGACAGUUCCAGCCGUAGAGGAAGGAAAGGGCGAAAACACAGUUCUGCCUGAAAUGACCUCCUAUUUUAAGAAAAAUCAACAGCCCCAAAAGGAGGAAAGGAAAAACAAAGUUCCACCCAGAAGGAAAUUGUAUGUAAACAGCCCGAAGGGAACCGGAGGUCUGAGAGGGCUAGUACAGGGAACGGAGCAAGCAGGGAAAGGCGCCAUUAGCCUCUGACAAUGUCAGCCCUGAACUUUGCAAGGACUGCUUUGUGAUUGACAAAAAACUGCUUGGGGGUAGGAGGCGCCAGACAAAAGCAAGUCCCCUCUGCAGCACGGAAACUUUGAUCUUUGGAGUUUGCUAUUUUUUCCCCCAGGACUUUGCUAGUGUGUAACUCGGGGAAGACCAGCAACCACAAAUGUUGGCUAUAAUUUUCUGCAAUUUGUCACAUGCCCUCUUAGAGCCCUGGUGAGACGGUUUUCUUUGUUUUCCCCCCCGGCUGCAUCCUGUAUGCUAGCAAGGUAGUUCAAAAAAGAUAAGAGGAAUCCUCCUUCAAUGCUUACAGUUUUGGGGCUACAUGAACCCACAGUCCAGUGUGUGUGUGUGUGUGUGUGUGUGUGUGUGUGUGUGUGUGUGUAGUGUGUGUGUGUGUACGCACGCACACGCACCUUAGCAAACUUGUGCUUCAGGACACCAUUUACAUACCUUUAUUUUACAUUACAUUAUAUUAUAUUUUAUUAUAUUUUAUUUUGUUUUUAAACGGGAUCUCUAAACAGCCUAGAGCUUACUAAUUGGGGUAGUCUGGCUGGCCAGUGAGCUCUAAGAAUCUUGUUGCCAACUAAGACAAGGAAUAGAGGUGUGUAUCACGGCACCCUGGCCUUUAUUUUGUUUUAUUUCAUUAAUAAUAUUUUUAAUGCGAAUUCUGGGAACUCCUCCUGCUUAUAAAGUGAUGGUUUUACCAACUGAGCCGCCACCCCAGCUCCGAUGGGCCUAUUUUAAUUUUAUUUUUCUAUAAACACAUUUGUUUGGCCCAGACAGCAUCUAAUCCACCUUUGGGUCUAUCGCUUAAGAAUCAAGAGAUUCCAUGAAAAAUUCGUAUUUUUUAUUUGCUGCUGACAUUUUUGAUAGCAUAGAUAUUAAGCUGAUAUAGGGGUGAGAUCUUCUGGGGCUGGGUACCCAAUGCCCUGUUCAGGUUGGACUUGCACGUGAUAACUUGACGUUCCAUCAGUCGACUUGUUUCUGUCAUGUCUUGCUGGGCCCUCCCAUGGGAGUUCAUAUCGGUUUCCAAAUUGGUCCGUAUACAUCCCUAGGAAUUGUCCUUGUUUCAUCCAGGGUGCCACAGACUGCUAGGGACAUUAGGUCUGCUUUUGAACCUAGCAUAGCGUUGUUUUGUGAUGGGUGUUCUCUGUGAGAAGAGAGGGAAUCCAGCGUCUAUGCCCACACUGCUUCAGUCUGUAAGCUAGGUCCAGAGUGAAUCGCAGCAGUCUUCUCUAAGACACAUCCCCUACAUGUGAUAGUAUUCACUCUAAAUCUCUAUAUGCAGAAUCAUAUUGAUGCUACAGAAAUCUCUUUCUUGUCAGAGACUUUCUAGGUAGCAGCACCUGGGACAGUUCAAACAGAGCCCAAAGUGAGCAAAAGGGAACAGCCCAAUACACUAUGUCACAUAGUUUAGUACAAGCCUAUGGAGCAAUAAUUUGUUCAUCCAUCCAUCCAUCCAUCCACCCAUCCAUCCAUCCAGCCAGCCAUUCAUCCAUCCAUCCAUCCAUCCAUCCAGCAUUCUUUUAGCUAUAUUCUCAGACUUAUUCUCAGCCUUAGAAAACGGGCCUGCAGGCAUUCGUCCACUCCAACUGUUUUUUGUACAAUCUCAUCAUGGUUCUUUACCUUGGUCAUUUCUGCAAUUCAGUGGAGACCAGUAUAUAACCAACCCUUUCACACAAAAUGGCCUGCCAGAAGCCCAGGGGUGAGCUGAUUUUCAAAGGUCUCCAACCCUUAAGUGAACCUCCUUUGGUGCUUUCAGGGAUUCUGUUGUUGGAGCCACAAGGACCCUUAAGAAAAAUCCUUGGGGGCAGCUGGUCCCUGCUGUCAUUGAAACCCAAAGGAGGAACACCAUGGGUGAGGAACUGCUGCCUGGAUGUCAUGAGGUUGCUUGUAUUUCAAAAGAACUCAGCUUACCACCUCUGUGGCUUUUAGCCUCUCUAAUAAAGCAGUUUUUAAAAAGCUAAAAACGUAAUCUGCCUUUUAAAUCUGCUGUUCCUGCCGAGUCUAAAUGGGGUUGCAGCAAAAUGCCCAGCCAGCAUUAGAGCUCCCUGAAGUCAAUCAACUGAAAUGCGGUUGCUUGGGGGGCUGAAAUAUAUUUGAAAACACUCUGGGGGUGGCACAAAAUAACUGAACAAAGGCGAAUUACACGAAAGGAAGAAGCAGGCAGAGGCUUCUGAGGCAAAAGGAUCCCUUCUGAGUUCUUGAAAGCAUGGAAACUGAGGUAGGGGUCCCGACCUUAACUAUUGAUCUACCUCCUCAGAAUAAUGUUUUUUUUUCCUUUUGGCAUUAGAAAAAUAUUAUCACAGUGAAUGUUGCUUCAAAUUUGAAGCACAGACUAGCCAGAAAUAUGCAGACUGUUUGAGUAAAUGCCCUAACACCCUCAGAGGACAGGCUGAAAACAAAGAUGGGCUUGACUGUAAAGUCAUCACGCAGCCUUUCAGGGGUCACUCUCACACGCUUUCCUGAUCCCGUUAGGAAAGUACAAGAAUUCUCAGUGACUUGGUUGUUUGCUAAGGGGAACUCUAGUUUUCUGUGUAUCCCAUUGAAAAUAAGUCAACAUGAAGAAAACUAGGAAGAAAAUCUGCUAUCAAUAAACUAGUUUUUAAAAACAAAGACACCUACAAAGAAAGUAUUAUCUUCUUAAUAAUUUUUUGAAAGGAUGGAUGUGGUUUGUGAAAAGAGUGAUGUAUGGUGAUUUAUGGUGGCGUAGAAGUCCAUUUUGGAUUACCUAACAAACAUAACCUAUCUGACAGGGCUAGUUUGUUCUAUCUUCAGUGUAUAUCUAGUGGGAUAUCAAAGAGAGAGGGAACAGAAUCCACCUCUUAAUAAAUUAGCAUUAGAUUUAAAUGGGUUGCCUUUAGAUUGUAUGUGGACCAAGUGAAUUUUAUACUUAGAUAUAUGGAAAGGACAGCAAUAGCAACACAGGAGGGUACUUGAAGGUACCUCUCUUUGAUUUUCACUCUACACAAGGUAUGUAGAGAAGACUAUGUUGCUAGAAAUUUUUUUUUUCUUUGUUGGAUGACACUGUGGAGGUAGAAGCUUGUAUGUACUUUUUCUUCCACUGUGCAAUUGCUUGCUGUCCUUAUAAGGCCAACGAGAGCUCUGAAUGCACAGACACAAGAGUGCCACGUUGAAUGUCCCAAGACACAAGGGUGCAGUGUGCAAUGACCCAGGAUACAAGAGCACAGUGUGCAAUGUCUCAGGACACAAGGGUGCCUCGUGCAGUGCUGUAGGACACUUGAGAAGGUGGGUGCAUUUGAGAACAAAUUGCAAGGGAUUGAAGCCUUGGUUUGGGUAAGAAUGGAAAAAUCUAGAUGCUUGGCCAAGGCAGUUCUGAAGGACUUUGAUCCGGAUAUCUCAGGAGAAUGAACUUGAACCAUGCCAGCAUUCUCUGGUUUUGGACAGGCAAAGAAUAUAGUAAAGAAAUAAAUAAAACCCAGAAUUUUUAAUGGGUUUUUAGAACUUCCACUUCUGGCUGCAAGUGGGAGACAAAAGGCAAAUAGAUAUUGUCCUGAAAAUGCUAAGCCAGGAUUUUUUUUUUUUUCUAACCUCAGAAAAACACUGGGGUUUGAUGAGGUUCAGCUUUGGGGCAAGUUUCAGGACAGUGUUUGUUCUAGCAACUUCCUCCCUUCUCUGUGGAAAGUCUGUUGGAGUCUGUUGUGGUUCUGGAGGCCAAGCUCUGAGGGCUCUAGGCUUCAGUGUCAUGAGACGGGCUCCAAUCUGUCAUUUGUGUCUCUGCCCACACUUUCCUCAGUGUGUUUUUUGGACCAAGGCCUUCCCAGACAAGUCCCUACAUGAAGGAGAGCCCAGACCCUUUCUCAUCCAGUUCUUUCUGGAAGAACCUCCAUGUUUAUGCCCAAUCUCCCAGAAUUCCCUGGAUAUACCAGUCUCUGCUCCCUUAGAAGGGUGAUGCCCCUGUUUCUGCCAUAGUUGUGUCCAAUUCCACCAUUAAGGAUGUGCCUUGGAUCUGGGGACAUUCCUUAUAUGUUGACUCAGGGCAGAAGCUGCAUAACACUUUAACUCUGGAAAAUCAUUAUUGUCUGGGUCCUAGAAUUCGGGAUAUAUCUUCCCACCCCCCCCCCCCGGAAAAAAUGGUGAUGUUUGCUGUAAAACAAGAAAGAAGAAGAUACUGGAAUGUCGCAGGAAUGCAGCACCUGAUUUUGUGGGUGGAAAGUUUUAAUCUCAAGGGCCACAAAAUAAAAGAAUUUUUUUUGGAAAGAGGAUGGAGAAAAAAUAUUAUUUUUUGGCCCUUAAUAUGCUAUAAAACUCUGUGCCACAGUGUUCAUGUAGGGCCACAUUUAAAUUUCACGCCCGUGAUAUGAUUUAUAAUUCACACUGUCAUAAGAUUGUUGGAUUUAGCUCAGAGCAUGGUAGCCAUCUUCUUCCACUGCAUCCACUCCAGUCAUAAUCAAUGUUUACACAUUUGCCUACAUUCAGCAAAAUACACAAUAAUGCACUUUCUAAGAUACAUUGUUAAAUUCUGUUUGUCUUAGUAAAGGGAAUAUCAAAUUUAAAAGUUUUUAAAGUCUACUGUUCUACGAGUUCUGAAUUUAUUCUCAGGAGAUGCAACACCAGGGACUGGAACUUUUUAAUCUUUAAUUUAUUUUUGCACCAGAAAACUAACAGUUUUCUGUACUGACAUUUAAAGUUUGAAUGGUACAUUAGUGUAAUUUUCAAGAUUUCAACAUGAACAUCGAUUUCAUAUUUUUUAAAGACUACAAAAUUACUUCUCUUUUUGGGUAUGAUAAAUUCUCAUUGCAGCACAGAGUUCUUGUUAAAAAAAUCUUUUGUAGAAUUCAUAUGCUAAAUAUCAAACCAGGUAAGUGUCAAGCUUUGUAAAAAUAUAAGGAAAUUAGUGCUUUCAAAUUUAUUAGCAUAUAGAAGCAGGAAUUUUGUGGCAUGCAUUUGAAUACUAAAAGUUUUACAGCGCUGUUAAAUGCAAGACACAUUCGACGACUCUUUUGAAUGUGGAAAUCACCAAGCUGGGUGCUGUGAGAGACUCCCUCUCUCUAGAUACUUAGUACAGUUUAAUACACCAGGAGUCAACAGCAUUUUCUGUAAAGGGAUAGAUGGUAAAAAUGCAUGGCUUUGUAGGUUACAUGCUCUCUGUACUUCACUUUGUUCUUACAGAAUGGCAGCUACCAUAGACAAUACACAAAAGGAUGAUGGUGACAGUGGUUUAAUAUUAUUUUGUGAAUGCACACUAAAAUUUUGUAAUUUUUCACAUAUCAUCUUAAAGAUAUAAAAAAAAAGACAUUCUCAGCUUAUGGACCACACACAAGAAGGAAAUGGGCUGAAUUUGUUGUCCCAUCUUUGGAAUACAUACAUACAUACAUACAUAUAUAUGGUUUUAUAUAUAUAUAUACACACACAUAUAUGAGGUUAGUAUUGUUAUCAUACAUGUGAUUGACAUAUAGGGACUAGGAAAUUGAGUUUGGGAUUUCACAUUAAAGGAAAAAUUCAACUUUGCUAGAGUUCUCAGAUAAUUUGACUAUAAGCAAAGACUCCGAGUGUGACAUUCUACUGUUCAGAUCCCUUCCAUGGCUAGAUAGUACAUUAUAAAUGAUAAAGAACAGUAUUGAUGGAAUACGUUAUGCGGUAGUGCUUUCAAAUACAGCCAUACCCCAUUUUGAUUGUGCUUCAUUAUACAACAUUUGAUAGGCAAGAUAUCCCAUGCUUUCGGUAGACAUUGAAGGUUUGUGGCAACUUUGCUGUGAGCAAAUAAGUGGGCAUUGUUAUCCCAGAAGCAGUGCUCACAUGUGUCUGUGUCAUACCCUUGGAGGCUUGUUUCUUGAAACCUGACUGUGGUGGUGAGGGAGUGAAGAAAGACUAGACACACAAGCAGAAAACCCUGGGGUAAGGUGGGCUGCACUUGCACUAUUGAAGGUGCACCAACUGUGACAACCAUUUGGUAUGUGUGGCACAGGGAGGAAGAGUUUGCCUUAACUGGAGAUCUUUGUAGCGAAGCAUUCUCAGCCCGUAGUCAUGCAGGAGAAGAAGAUGCAGUCACUAAUUCUUGUACACACUGGUCAGUCAUUGGUAAACGAUCAUAUGUGCACACUGUUUGCGUUUGCACACAGACCAGAGAAAUGUUUUGCCAAUCGCCUGAGUUGAACUGGGGUAAAGCUUUUGCUCCUAUGGCUCUGAGCCAUUGGGGUCCUUGACAUGGCUCUGCCUGUUUCAAGAUCCACAUUCACUCAGGACUUCAUCUCUCCUUUUGCACACCCACUCAAGGCUUUUUUGGCUCUUCAUACUUGGUAGGUCUUGUAAUGUUUCAAGCUUUUUCAUGGUUAUUGUGGUGACCUGUGAUCUUUGAUGUCACGGUUUUAAUGAUUUGGGAGUGGCCAUGGAUUGCAUCCACUUAAGAUAAACUUCACAAAGCUGUAUGUGGGCUCUGCCUGCUCCAUCAACGGGUUAUUCUCCAUCUGUAUCCCUUUUAUUGAGAUUUCCCUUUUCCUAGCAUGCAAUAAUAUUGGAAUUAGAUCGAUCAACCCUGAAGUGGCCUUUAAGUGUCCAGGUGCAAGGAAGAGAGUUAGCCUUUAAAUCCAAGGUUAGACAUAAACUUGGGAAGGAAAGAGUAAGAACAGCUAGGCCAGGACCUCUGCACCAAUGGAGAGACAGGCAGUGAAAGCAAAGAAGAAAAGUUUGAUUCUAGUUUAUUCUAAUGGGAAGAGGGCAAACCAGCCUGACUGCUGAGGUGGAAAGUCUCAGUAGACUGGAAGGGAGCCACCAUAAUAUUCCCAUGAGUCAACGCCUAAUGCAGAACAACACCCUACCUAGUUUCGCUUCUAAAACCUUUAAAAAGUGAGGAAUCUGCUGAAGAGACGUGUGGAGGUAACACAAACUGGUUGACAAGUUUUAGGGAAGGAAGCCAUCUUGAUAACACAAAAGUGCGAGAGUGGGGAUGCGGCAGUGAGAGAUGAUUUAGAACUGAUGCAUUUCUGGAAGAUCUAGCCAAGAUCAAAGGAAGGUGACUGGCUAAAACGAAACAAUAACCAUCUUUCCAUGUGGACAAAAUAGCCUUCCUCUGGAAGAAGACACCAUCUGGGGCUUUCAUAAGUAGGUAUAAGUCAAAGUCUGCUUUCAAAGCUUCAAAGGUCUAGGAAGCUCUCGUAGAGGUUAACGACUUUUAGUUGAAGCCACUGCUCUAUUCUGCAAGCCCCGGGGGGCCCUUGACUGUUAUACUAUGGCCACUCUGCUUGUUCUCUACAUAUGAACACCAAAGCCUGCACAGCUGCUCACAGGACUGACUGAAGAAUUUAACCCCUGUAUUGAGACUCACUGCUCAGAAAAGGGAUUCCCUGCACGAGGUCACCCAAGAGCUGAAAAUGUGCAGUGACAGGGAUGCUGUCAUGUCUCGGAUCUAACUCCCACUCAUGCACAUGGAGAAACUUGACCUUUCAAACCCUUGUGUUUAAGGCACGCAUCUCCGUGUAGACAGCAAUCCUGCUGAUGGGAAGAAAAACUGAACACCUUCUGGAAAGAAUGCUAGGUGCUGUUAAAGUUUUUGUUUUUGUUUGUUUGUUUGUUUGUUUGAUUUAUCAGAAGAGGUCAAAAUAUUAACACUAAAAAGGGGUCGGAAGAAGUCAUUUUGAACUUUCAUGGGUGAUGGAGAAGAAAUGGAGGCAUCGGUGUAGAAGUGACUGUAGAUGUGGUGGAAAUAGCAACAGAACUAGACACAGAGCCUGGAGAGAUGCUGAGUUGCUGGAAUAUUUGAUAAAACUGGGGUGGAGGGGGCUCUGCUUCCUACAGCUGUGCGAAGAGAGCACACGCAUCAGUAUGUAUGGUGGUGAAAUGAAAUAAAAUUUGGGUGACUCUCCAAUCUCUCCUUCCCAGCUACAAUUAUGAAUGUAUAUAUAUUUUUGAAAAAGUCAAUUCUUAAAGUGGCCUUUUGUACUUCAAAAUAUGUGGGCUGGUUUUUGUUGUUGUUGUUGCUAUGGGUUUUUUUUCCUUCCUUUCAGACAACCAUAUACAUAAUAGAGGUAAUAGUGGCUGGAUUUGUAUGUGUUUGCUUCAUUCCAGAUCGACUGAUUUUAAUUGUUAUGUCCUCAAGCAGCAGGAAUCACUGGUACUAUUGAUGUAGUUCAGCCUAAUGCCUUGCUAUUUUAUGUGGAAGUAAUUGUGGAUUUGGUGUUUAACAGGAAAAAAGAAAAUGGCAUCUUGAGCUGGAAUAGAUGCCCGCUGAAGGUGCUGUGCAUAUUGAUGAAAUGACAAUAAGAGACUUAGAAUAUCACCUUAGCUUUAUAAAUAAAGCAGAGGCAGAAUUUUGAGGGGACUCUACAGUCACCAAGACUAUAACUUACGCAGCUCACUUUAUCGUAAUAUUAACUUCAUGGUGAUGGCCUGUAGUGGAACUUCUGGUGUCGCUGAGGUAUGCACGUUUGCUUUUAUUUGUUAAAACUCUGAGAACGAGGGAUUGAUAUUUCAGUUUUUCUAAUAGGCUAGUUUGAAGACCCAGGAUGGGUGUGAGUACAGGUUUACAGCGCUUCUUUACCCAGUCCAGUGACUGAGCAUACUGAUGGGCUCCCUUUAUCUUACUUGUUCAUUCUGUCUUUAUUCCUCUUUCUUUCUUUCUUCCUUUCUUUCUUUCUUUCUUUCUUUCUUUCUUUCUUUUUUUUUUUUUUUUUUGGUUCUUUUUUUCGGAGCUGGGGACCGAACCCAGGGCCUUGCGCUUCCUAGGUAAGCGCUCUACCACUGAGCUAAAUCCCCAGCCCCUUUAUUCCUCUUUCUUAUUGGUGCUGGGCAAGGUUAGAAACUCUCUUAUGGUCUCAUGGUUUUGUUGUCUUUAGUUUUGCCUGUGCCAACUGCCUUUUUCGUGGGUCUUUAAUGCCUAAGUUAAACUCGAGUUCAUUCUCUAAGUCUUCUAUGACCUUCCCACAAAAAUUCUCUUUCUUCUGGCUUUGAUGGCAUGUUGUAUCUUCAGAAGCCCAUUUGGUCCCAUUUAGGUGAGCAAGUGUAUGUUUUGUAUAUCCUGUUAGACCAUAAUCUCCUUACAGUAUGAAUCUCCUUUUAACCAUUUGUAUCCUCUACAACAUCCAAUUCAGUGUGCCUCAGUACUAAAGUAAACAAACACCAGGCAGGAUUCAGUUCUCACCAGUAAGAGCUGUUAUUGGAGAAGUAUAAGAGAAUAAUUGGUUAUAGUCGUGUAAUUGGGUUCAAUAUAUUUUCAUUGAAGUCUGUAGAAUGUAUGCUUUCACUCACUCAUUAAUUCAUUCAACAACUGUGCUUUGACUAUGAAAACAGCAAAUUUCUGUUGGGGUUUCAUAAUUGUGAGAUAAUUUAGAUCUUAUAAUUUGUGUGUGUGUGUCUGAGA
Molecule: long non-coding RNA, 10699 nt
Organism: Rattus norvegicus (Norway rat)
Lineage: Eukaryota; Metazoa; Chordata; Mammalia; Rodentia; Muridae
Source: RefSeq, a predicted model, not a curated record